This 30-nucleotide non-coding RNA is filed under the name Mus musculus (house mouse). Lineage: Eukaryota; Metazoa; Chordata; Mammalia; Rodentia; Muridae. The record is from RNAcentral.
UCUUGACUCAGUCCAAUUUCAGAAGUCAGC